AGUGAACGCUGGCGGUAGGCCUAACACAUGCAAGUCGAACGGCAGCACAGUAAGAGCUUGCUCUUACGGGUGGCGAGUGGCGGACGGGUGAGGAAUACAUCGGAAUCUACUUUUUCGUGGGGGAUAACGUAGGGAAACUUACGCUAAUACCGCAUACGACCUACGGGUGAAAGCAGGGGAUCUUCGGACCUUGCGCGAUUGAAUGAGCCGAUGUCGGAUUAGCUAGUUGGCGGGGUAAAGGCCCACCAAGGCGACGAUCCGUAGCUGGUCUGAGAGGAUGAUCAGGCAAACUGGGACUGAGGACACGGCCCGGCCCCUACGGGAGGCCACCGUGGGGGAUUAUGGACCAAUGGGCGCAACCUUGUCCAGCCCUACCGCGUGGGUUGAAGAAGGCUUCCGGUUGGAAAAGCCUUUUUUUGGGGAAAAAAAGCCGGCGGGUUAAACCCCGGCGGUCUGACCGUAACCCAAAGAUAAACCACGGCUAACUUCGUG
This 492-nucleotide ribosomal RNA is filed under the name uncultured bacterium. RNAcentral's name for it is "partial 16S ribosomal RNA". It matches the Rfam family "Bacterial small subunit ribosomal RNA", at positions 29 to 507 of the family's 1533-position model. The record is from RNAcentral.